Long non-coding RNA from Dermacentor silvarum, 1223 nucleotides. RefSeq lists it as uncharacterized. NCBI's taxonomy places the organism in Eukaryota, Metazoa, Arthropoda, Arachnida, Ixodida, Ixodidae. The transcript is spliced from 3 exons. The record is from RefSeq and is a predicted model, not a curated record.
CUGUAAUGAAGUGGGUCGCAGUUAGCGUGCACAGAAGUGCCUGAAGAUACCUUGUGUCAUGCUGCAAACUCGCCGUAUGCGUGGCGCGCCAAGCAAACGUGGACCAACGAUUUGAUGUCAUCGAGUGUGGCUCCUUUGUCUCUCGUUGUGGAAAGUAGGGUGGACGUCGCAAAGAAAUAAUGCGUGUUAGCGCGCCUCAGCUCGUCCACUACUCAGUGGCAUGUAUGCCGGGAGUAACAUCGUCGACGCAGCACCGGCAGCUUGGAGAGCGCUUUGCGAAUGCGUCGUACCAUUCAAAAGUGGCGAGGCUGUGACCCACAACAGUGCCCACAUAACAUAUUAGCCACCAGACCCCUUGGCUAUGCCUGCCGUAGCGCAACGUGUAAUCUGGAUGGUCGGGUCAGGUUGCCGCAUUAUUGACUUGGAAACCAGUGAGGUCUCUGGAUGCAAGUGAAGCUACCGAGGGAAGCAUGUGUGCAUCGCUUGUGCUGCUGACCAUCCUCUGCAAAAGUGAAGGCUGGCGGUCACUGCUUGGACGACUUUGUUACUAUACCCCCUGGGCUGUGUUGACUCCUUCACACUUGCUGCAAGCUUAGGCAAAAAGACCGGCUGGAUGCUUGGCAGGACAUAGUAUUCAACCGCAGUGGUACUGUGCUGUGUUUUUGUACACUACCAAGUGAAUGACAGUAUUUGUGCUGUUAUUAAGAAGUAUAAAUUGUGUUCUGCCAUUGAAAUAAGGGAACUUGACAAAAAAAGCAAAAAAUUUCGAAGUCUGACCUAAAUGGGAAGGCAACAAGUAUUGUGUUGUAGCUGUUAGCAGAGUGUCUUAAUAUGUGAUACAAGACCUUGAUGUUUAAUGCAAAAUAUAUUUGUGUUAUCAGAGCUGUUCACGUUGUUUUUCUAAGUUACUGUUAUCUAAGUGUCAUUACUUGUUUGCCAGUAUGAUGUAAGCAGACUGUAAAUAAAUGCAUGGUUUGACAUUAUAACCAGGUUUGUCUAUGACAUAUUCACUAUUAUUUAAGGUGGACCAAUGCAUAUUCAAAGGUGCAUAUUCAACCGCCACAUAUUCCUCCUGCACAAACAAUUCCUACAUACUAGCGUUUGUUAUUAGCAGCUGAUGUUGGCUAUUAUGAAAUUUCUUGAAAGCACAUGCAGCUACCGACACAUGAUUUUUAGAGCAGUAAGUCGGAAGCAAAGAAACUGACUUUUUUCUGUGGCCUAAG